ACGUAGGGGGCGAGCGUUAUCCGGAUUCAUUGGGCGUAAAGCGCGCGUAGGCGGCCUGUUAGGUCGGGAGUUAAAUCCGGGGGCUCAACCCCCGUCCGCUCCCGAUACCGGCGGGCUUGAGUCUGGUAGGGGAAGGCGGAAUUCCCAGUGUAGCGGUGGAAUGCGCAGAUAUUGGGAAGAACACCGGUGGCGAAGGCGGCCUUCUGGGCCACGACUGACGCUGAGGCGCGAAAGCUAGGGGAGCGAACAG
RNAcentral lists this ribosomal RNA (250 nucleotides) under uncultured bacterium. RNAcentral's name for it is "partial 16S ribosomal RNA". It matches the Rfam family "Bacterial small subunit ribosomal RNA", at positions 525 to 775 of the family's 1533-position model. The record is from RNAcentral.